Non-coding RNA from Gossypium raimondii (Peruvian cotton), 121 nucleotides. Lineage: Eukaryota; Viridiplantae; Streptophyta; Magnoliopsida; Malvales; Malvaceae. The record is from Rfam.
AAUAGGAGAAUGAUAAAUUAGAUUUUUCUUCCUGAUUUUUAGUAUCUUCCUCCUAAAAAAUUUCAAAUUCAACAAAAAAUACUAAAAAUCAGAGGGGAAUCUGAUUUGUCGUUCUCUUAUU